GACGAACGCUGGCGGCGUGGAUUAGGCAUGCAAGUCGAACGGUAUCAUCCUUUCGGGGGUGAGAGAGUGGCGAACUGGUGAGUAACACGUAGGUUAUCUACCCUCAAGACGGGGACAACCCAGGGAAACUUGGGCUAAUACCGGAUGUGAGCAACUUUUAGUUGUUUGAAAGGUGGCGUAAGCUGUCGCUGGGGAUGAGCCUGCGUCCUAUUAGUUAGUUGGUGAGGUAACGGCUCACCUAGGCAAUGAUAGGUAGGCGGCCUUAACGGGUGGUCGCCCACACUGGGAUUGAGAUACGGCCCAGACUCCUACGGGAGGCAGCAGUCGAGAAUAGUCUACAAUGGUCGGAAGACUGAUAGUGCGACGCCGCGUGAACGAUGAAUCCCUUCGGGGUGUAAAGUUCUUUUAUAUGUGAGCAGUGCUUCUUAUAUUAACAGUAUGGGGAAGAGAUAUUAGCAUAUGAAUAAGCAACGGCUAACUCCGUGCCAGCAGCCGCGGUAA
RNAcentral lists this ribosomal RNA (501 nucleotides) under uncultured bacterium. RNAcentral describes it as "bacterial SSU rRNA". It matches the Rfam family "Bacterial small subunit ribosomal RNA", at positions 28 to 523 of the family's 1533-position model. The record is from RNAcentral.